The sequence is a ribosomal RNA, 391 nucleotides long. It matches the Rfam family "Eukaryotic large subunit ribosomal RNA", at positions 3004 to 3399 of the family's 3401-position model. The record is from Rfam.
AAUAUUAGUGCAGUAGUAAUUGAACUUUGUACGAGAGGAACCGUUCAUCCGAUGAUUGGUAUUUGGGCCUGCCUGAGCAGACAAUAGCCCAAAGCUACCAUCCGUUGGAUUAUGGCCAAACGCCUCUAAGUCAGAACUUGCACUAGAUCGCAUCGAUACGCCUUUUCCAAUUUUUAGUCAAAUGUGACUAAACCUUCGGACCCCGAGUCAUAUUACAAGGGGUUGAUCUUGCAAAGCGGAAAGGCUCUGUGAGGAUCUUGCUAAUGUUAAUUUCAAGUAUUGGCAGAGAUAAAUCCAUUACAGACGACUUUAAUUGAACGGGGUAUUUUAAGCAGUAGGGUAGCCUUGUUGUUACGAUCCGCUGAUAUCAAGCUCAUUGUUUUAUAGAUUU